Long non-coding RNA from Neltuma alba, 258 nucleotides. RefSeq lists it as uncharacterized. The transcript is spliced from 4 exons. Lineage: Eukaryota; Viridiplantae; Streptophyta; Magnoliopsida; Fabales; Fabaceae. The record is from RefSeq and is a predicted model, not a curated record.
UCUGAUGCACUUUAUGCCACACCUACCGGAUCAAAUGAUGACUGGUACUGGUUGUAUGCAGCUAUAAAAUUCAGGUGCUUAAUUGUGACCAAUGAUGAAAUGAGAGAUCAUUUAUUUCAACUUUUGGGAAAUGACAUCUUCCCCAAGUGGAAAGAAAGACAUCAAGUACAUUUUAGUUUCUCUGAUACUGGUCCAGAGUUUCACAUGCCCCCUCCUUGUUCUGUUGUAAUUCAGGAAUCAGAGGAAGGCCAUUGGCAA